RNAcentral lists this ribosomal RNA (460 nucleotides) under uncultured bacterium. RNAcentral's name for it is "partial 16S ribosomal RNA". It matches the Rfam family "Bacterial small subunit ribosomal RNA", at positions 338 to 795 of the family's 1533-position model. The record is from RNAcentral.
CCUACGGGAGGCAGCAGUGAGGAAUAUUGGUCAAUGGGCGAGAGCCUGAACCAGCCAAGUCGCGUGAAGGAUGACGGCCCUACGGGUUGUAAACUUCUUUUGUCAGGGAGCAAUUGGGUCCACGCGUGGGCUUAGCGAGAGUACCUGCAGAAAAAGCAUCGGCUAACUCCGUGCCAGCAGCCGCGGUAAUACGGAGGAUGCGAGCGUUAUCCGGAUUUAUUGGGUUUAAAGGGUGCGUAGGCGGAAUAUUAAGUCAGCGGUAAAAUGUCGGGGCUCAACCCGGUCGUGCCGUUGAAACUGAUGUUCUUGAGUGGGCGAGAAGUAUGCGGAAUGCGUGGUGUAGCGGUGAAAUGCAUAGAUAUCACGCAGAACUCCGAUUGCGAAGGCAGCAUACCGGCGCCCAACUGACGCUGAAGCACGAAAGCGUGGGUAUCGAACAGGAUUAGAUACCCGGGUAGUC